AUUGAACGCUGGCGGCAGGCCUAACACAUGCAAGUCGAACGGUAGCACAGAGAGCUUGCUCUCGGGUGACGAGUGGCGGACGGGUGAGUAAUGUCUGGGAAACUGCCCGAUGGAGGGGGAUAACUACUGGAAACGGUAGCUAAUACCGCAUAACGUCGCAAGACCAAAGUGGGGGACCUUCGGGCCUCACACCAUCGGAUGUGCCCAGAGGGGAUUAGCUAGUAGGUGGGGUAAUGGCUCACCUAGGCGACGAUCCCUAGCUGGUCUGAGAGGAGGAACAGCCACACAGGAACUGAGACACGGUCCAGACUCCUACGGGAGGCAGCAGUGGGGAAUAUUGCACAAUGGGCGCAAGCCUGAUGCAGCCAUGCCGCGUGUAUGAAGGAGGCCUUCGGGUUGUAAAGUACUUUCAGCGGGGAGGAAGGCGGUGAAGUUAAUAACUUCACCGAUUGACGUUACCCGCAGAAGAAGCACCGGCUAACUCCGUGCCAGCCGCCGCCGUAA
This 504-nucleotide ribosomal RNA is filed under the name uncultured bacterium. RNAcentral describes it as "partial 16S ribosomal RNA". It matches the Rfam family "Bacterial small subunit ribosomal RNA", at positions 29 to 523 of the family's 1533-position model. The record is from RNAcentral.